This 491-nucleotide ribosomal RNA is filed under the name uncultured bacterium. Its description in RNAcentral is "partial 16S ribosomal RNA". It matches the Rfam family "Bacterial small subunit ribosomal RNA", at positions 29 to 507 of the family's 1533-position model. The record is from RNAcentral.
AGUGAACGCUGGCGGUAGGCCUAACACAUGCAAGUCGAACGGCAGCACAGUAAGAGCUUGCUCUUACGGGUGGCGAGUGGCGGACGGGUGAGGAAUACAUCGGAAUCUACUUUUUCGUGGGGGAUAACGUAGGGAAACUUACGCUCAUACCGCAUACGACCUACGGGUGAAAGCAGGGGAUCUUCGGACCUUGCGCGAUUGAAUGAGCCGGUGUCGGAUUAGCUAGUUGGCGGGGUAAAGGCCCACCAAGGCGCCGAUCCGUAGCUGGUCUGAGAGGAUGAUCAGCCACUCUGGAACUGAGAAACGGUCCAGGCUCCUACGGGAGGCAGCAGUGGGGAAGAUUGGACGAUGUGCGCAAGCCUGAUCCAGCCAUACCGCGUGGGUGAAGAAGGCCUCGGGUUGUAAAGCCCUUUUGUUGGGAAAGAAAGGCAGCAGGUUAAUACCCCGCUGUUCUGACGGUACCCAAAGAAUAAGCACCGGCUAACUUCGUG